This 781-nucleotide ribosomal RNA is filed under the name Creaserinus burrisi. RNAcentral's name for it is "partial 28S ribosomal RNA". The stretch from base 306 to 781 matches the Rfam family "Eukaryotic large subunit ribosomal RNA", at positions 665 to 926 of the family's 3401-position model. The record is from RNAcentral. Lineage: Eukaryota; Metazoa; Arthropoda; Malacostraca; Decapoda; Cambaridae.
GGGGACGUAACAAAGCGACCCAGGAAUGCUUGGGCGUGCCUCCACCCACGCCGGCGUCGGCGGGCGUAUUUCGCCUCACAGUAGGUCGCCGCGACCCGUUGCUUUUGGGGACGUCGAAGGCCCGGACGGAUUGGUACCCUACCGGCUGGGGAUGCGGCUUCGGCUUCUCCUCUUGUCCGGUGGGCGAAACCGCCGGUGUCCUGGCUGCCCUGCGACGGUCGUAGAGACGAGCCCUCCCCUUCGGGGGGGCGGCUCUCGCGGCGUGCAAAAGGUCGGUGAUCCACCCGACCCGUCUUGAAACACGGACCAAGGAGUCUAACAUGUGUGCGAGUCAGUGGGCGCACUAAACCCAGAGGCGUAAUGAAAGUGACACGGGUUCGGCUGUCGCCUCGUGUGGCAGCCGGACUCAGGGCCGAUCCCUCACCGGUUGUCCUCGCCUCUCUCCCGCGUCUCGGUAAGCCGGGUGAGCUAUUUUCCCCGGCCGCUGCUGCGGGGCUCGGGGGAAGGCGGGGUGCGAUGGUGUCUGUAAAAAAGAGCCUGCUGUUGCAGGGGGGCGCAGGCCCGGGACUUGCCAGGACGCCGCGAGACUGUCACUUUGCUGUGAGGCUCUCGGGCCGAUCAGCGGGUCAUGCGUGCAGUCGGCAAGUACCAUGAGCAGACAUGUUGGGACCCGAAAGAUGGUGAACUAUGCCUGGCCAGGAUGAAGCCAGAGGAAACUCUGGUGGAGGUCCGUAGCGAUUCUGACGUGCAAAUCGAUCGUCGGAGCUGGGUAUAGGGGCGA